UACGUAGGGUGCAAGCGUUAAUCGGAAUUACUGGGCGUAAAGCGUGCGCAGGCGGUUGUGUAAGCUUGAUGUGAAAUCCCCGGGCUUAACCUGGGAAUGGCAUUGAGGACUGCACGGCUAGAGUGUGUCAGAGGGGGGUAGAAUUCCACGUGUAGCAGUGAAAUGCGUAGAGAUGUGGAGGAAUACCGAUGGCGAAGGCAGCCCCCUGGGAUAACACUGACGCUCAUGCACGAAAGCGUGGGGAGCAAACAGG
Molecule: ribosomal RNA, 253 nt
Filed under: uncultured bacterium
Lineage: Bacteria
Description: partial 16S ribosomal RNA
Rfam family: Bacterial small subunit ribosomal RNA
Source: RNAcentral